CUGAAACACUAAUGAAAGAAAGAAAAUCGGGCAGGCGUAGCCAGAAUGUGCGGGGAUUUUCCCCGCCCUGGACGGGGUGUACCGGCUCUACACAAUAUGCAUCGUUUUGUUUUCUGGAUAAUCAUCUUAGGAAAAUCACACUACAGUGAGAGAAGAAACCUGUCGAUUUCUUCACUCUGUCCCAUCCACCGGUACCACGUCAGCAUUCAGGAAAGCUGAAAAAUUCUGACAGCUUCGAGAGUCUUCCUGUGCAAGACGGCCUUUUCAACAAGGACUUGUCGCUGACCAGGGGAAAAAAGAAGGUCAUUCUCUAAGACAGGAUGCCGAGAGGACAAGCUGUGAAUGGGACUCGCGCUGUGCGAAGGACACCAUCGUACAAGUAAAGAAUGCAGCCUGGUCCCCAAGGAUAUUAUUCAUGAUCCUGGAGGGGAGGAUAAACAGGCAACCAGACGCUCGCCUAAGCAACUACCAUAACAAUAUUCUGAAUUCCAGAAAAUCCUCCAACAAUGACUGUAAAUUCCUGGCCGCUCGCUUGCUUAUUUAAAUAUCAGCACUUUUAGGGAAAAGGCUUCAUUUCGGGCUAGGACGGCCACCGAUGACACCCAAAAUUUGGGGCCACGGAGAUCCACGGGAGGUUACAACCGUUAAGCUGACCAUACAAUUUGACGAAAUGAUGUCGUAGGAAUCAUUUUGCAGCAGUUCCCCAAGUUCGUCGAAACCUGGAGCAUUUCUCCUGCCGGGAUCCCCACCCACUCCUCCACUUCUCCAACUUUCGGGGCCUUUGCAUUCCCCUCUCAGACCACUGUGGACACAGGCACCACUUCUAGUCACAGCGGAGGGAGGCUGGGUGCUGAAAAUUACAGUCAGCCGGUCAAUCGUAUUUAUUGAGCGCUUCCUUGCGUGCAAAGCACUGUACUAAGCGCUUGGGAGAGUACACUAUAACAAUAAACAAUUUCCCUGCCCGCAACAAGCUUACCUUCUAGAGGGGGAG
RNAcentral lists this long non-coding RNA (991 nucleotides) under Ornithorhynchus anatinus (platypus). Its description in RNAcentral is "lncRNA (ENSOANG00000049400.1)". The record is from RNAcentral. Lineage: Eukaryota; Metazoa; Chordata; Mammalia; Monotremata; Ornithorhynchidae.